GAUGAACGCUGGCGGCGUGCCUAAUACAUGCAAGUCGAGCGAACAGACGAGGAGCUUGCUCCUCUGACGUUAGCGGCGGACGGGUGAGUAACACGUGGAUAACCUACCUAUAAGACUGGGAUAACUUCGGGAAACCGGAGCUAAUACCGGAUAAUAUAUUGAACCGCAUGGUUCAAUAGUGAAAGACGGUUUUGCUGUCACUUAUAGAUGGAUCCGCGCCGCAUUAGCUAGUUGGUAAGGUAACGGCUUACCAAGGCGACGAUGCGUAGCCGACCUGAGAGAGUGAUCGGCCACACGGGAACUGGGACACGGUCCAGACUCCUACGGGAGGCAGCAGUAGGGAAUCUUCCGCAAUGGGCGAAAGCCUGACGGAGCAACGCCGCGUGAGUGAUGAAGGUCUUCGGAGCGUAAAACUCUGUUAUUAGGGAAGAACAAAUGUGUAAGUAACUAUGCACGUCUUGACGGUACCUAAUCAGAAAGCCACGGCUAACUACGUG
RNAcentral lists this ribosomal RNA (497 nucleotides) under uncultured bacterium. RNAcentral's name for it is "partial 16S ribosomal RNA". It matches the Rfam family "Bacterial small subunit ribosomal RNA", at positions 28 to 507 of the family's 1533-position model. The record is from RNAcentral.